GUUCCGGAACGCCGCGGCCCAGGGCUGCCACCUCCGCGGGGAACACCCUUGCUCUGCCCAGCUGGCGGGAGCAUCAUCUGCCCCCCCGCCACCCAGCCGGGAGCCCGAUCCGACUCAGGAUUACACUGACAUCACUGCGAGAGAUGCUGGGAUCAUUCCCCGGGGGAGGGAAGGAAAGACGCGUGUCAGCCUCGCAGUCGCGGCGCUUUCUGCAGGCCCUGGCAAGCUUUUUUGCACUAGUUUGGGGGGAGCGGGAGAGUGUGGAUGAGGAUGCAGCAUAGCUGGGCAUCUUCUUUGAAAAUCUACCCGUUGGAAGGUCCGGGUAUUUAAUUAGGACCUCUUCAUCCCAAGCAGCAGGGCGAGAAUGUCCCAAAAUAACUAACCCAGAGAGUACACUCCAGCCUUCCUAGCCAAGUGUCCUGAGGCUACGUUAACAGGCAGAACUAAAUCUAGUAAAGUGCAGGGAUUAAUGAACAAACAGUUAAAGCAACAAGAUCCCUCACCUACACCCCCAUUUCUGAGGCGGACGCCCCUUUCCCUGGAGAAAAAAUUUGUCCUCCUAAAGAGGGGAUGUCCUGAAGAGAAGACGGCAAAUCAUUCCUUCUGAAGGACUCUGAUGUCUCAGCUUGCUGGGCUUUUGCUUUUUUUUUUUUUUUUUUUUUUUUUUAACCUGUUUUGGUUUACCCCUACUGUAACUCCUGAAAUGUGAAACCUAGAUAAAAGUUACUGCUGGGUUUUCUUGUUCAAAGAAGAGAAGAGAUUCUGUUCAUCUGUAGACAGUUAAUGCAUCCUCUUGACUUCUCAGGGUGUCUUUUCUCAAGGCUUGCUGUUACUCAUUUCAACACCCGAUUUUAUUUUAACGGUAAAGAGCUCAACAGUUAUCUUAGUUGAAAUUUUGUUUUGUUUUUGACAAAUGAAAACAAAUGAAUUGCUUUGUUUUUUCACAAAUGAAUUAUCACAUCAAAUGCAAUGAAGAUCCCAAGCUCUGGCAUCAGACUUGAUUCAAAUCCUGGUUCUAGGGCCUGGGUCAAGUAACUAGACUUUUCUGUUCCUUCAAUUCCUCAUCUAUGAAAUGAAGAUAAUCAAGACCUACCUCUUAAUAUAGCGGUGGAUCGAAUGUGCUAUGAUGAUGGAGGGCCUCUUUAUCUGGUAAUGCCUACUCAUCCCUCAGAGCUCAUCCCAAGUAUGCCCUCUCUGAGGAGGUCUUCCCUGACACUCCUGGACAAGGAUUUCUCACUGUGAGAGAAGUGAGCCACCAGAUAGAGAGGACACUCAAACAGCCCCAUGCAGAGGCCAAUAUAGAAAGGAUAAAAUAGCCAGCAUCAACUUACCGGCUUUGUAAGAGAGCCUUUAUAACUGAAUCCACUGCCCCGGUCAAGCCUUCAGAUGACUGCAGCUCUAGCCUACAUCUGGCUGCAAUCUCAGGUGUUCAGAUCAAGGGAAACUACUCUAAGAGGCUACACUUGAGGAACAACAACCAAGGAGCUUCAACUGCAUCUGGAUUUCAGGAGUCUGGAAAACUUUUCUUUUGAGCUAUUGACAGCCUUUAACAACUGAGUAAAGUGUACUCCUGUGAACAAAAUUCAGAGCCUGUUUGUUUCUCUCUACCUGAUUUCUCCAGAAUUUGGAAACUAUUUGUGAGUAUUCUUAACUUAUGGAAACAUAGUUAUUUGCAUAAGUGCAAUAAGAAUCUGUUUUCAUUUGUAACAGGACACAAUUGGAAAAACUGGUUAUUUUACCAAGGCUUUUACUGGAAUGGUGUGCUUUCUUUUAAGGAAUCAAACUUGACUUAUAGAGCCAAUAAAAGCCCCUUGGAAACACUGGCCUUAUACAUUGUCUACACAGUCUCUGUGUAGGGUUCCUAACCUGUGAGUAAAGAAUGUCACUUUUUAACAGUCCCAGGAGCCCCCAAGUUAUCUUGGGACCUGAAUAGGAAAGGAAUUUACCCAAUAAUAGAUAUUUGAGUGUACAAACCCAUGGCUGGGCUCAGCUUCAGAAAAAAGUCUUAUCUGAGAUUCCUUAUAGAACAGAGUUCCAUCAAAGCCAAUUUAAAAAGCCUAUGUGAAAAAUAAUUAUUCUUGCUGCACUUUGUAUGAAUAAUCAGGCCAAGUAUAAUAAAGUAAAUCAGUCUUACAGUGAUUUGUCUUUAGUAAAAAUGGGAAACUGGAGAGAGAAAAAAAUUGUUUCAAGAACUAUGGUACAACUGUUACUAGAUUCUAGUCUCAUUCACUGUUUUUGAAUUUUUUUCUGCAAUUUAGACUGACUCUUCUUAUUUCUGUUAACCAACCAGUGAUCUCUGGCUGCUGCUCAGAAGAACUAAGAAGGAUGGGUACCAUCUUUUGUUGGAACUCAGUUACAAAUAACCCUCACCAUACCAGCACUUUCUGAAUGAGCUCCUCUCUACCCUGAAGGCAAAAGACCCAAUAGUUAGGCUGGAAUAUUAUCACCCCUAUUCAGCCUGAAGAAGUUACAGAAAAUGGAUCUUCAUCUGUCUACAACCCUUAGGAUUAAGUGUUCUCUUAUAAUAGGGAGGGGGGAAUUGUCAGAGGCAUUUGAAUCAAAGCAACUCCAUUUCACACAGGGGCUAAGUGAAAUAAGGCUAAGACCUACUAGGCUGCAUUCCCAGGAGGUUAAGACAUUCUAAGUCACAGGAUGAGACAGGAGAGCGGCAUAAGAUGCAGGUCAGAAAGAUCUUGUGGAUAAAACAGGUUGCAGUAAAGAAGCCAGCCAAAACAUCAAAACCAAGAUGGCGACAAAAGUGACUUCUGGUCGUCUGCACUGCUACAUUCCCGCCAGCACCACGGCAGUUUACAAAUGCCAUGGCAAUGUCAGGAGGUUGCCCUACAUGUUCUAAAAUGGGGAGGAACCCUCAGUUCCAGGAAUUGCCCACCCCUUUCCUGGAAAACUCAUGAAUAAUCCACCCUUUGUUUAGCAUAUAAACAAGAAAUAACCAUAAAAAUGGGCAACUAGGUGUGCACCACUGCUCUUCUUAUGGAGUAGCCAUUCUUUCAUUCCUUUACUUUCAUAAUAAACUUGCUUUCACUUAAAAAAAAACUUGACCCUUACCUUAUGCCAUGUAUAAAAAUUAACUCACAAUGAAUCAGGAGGUAUUCCUUUUUCCUGACUGCCUUUGAACUGGGACAUCAUUUUUUUCCCUGUCUUCAGACUUGAACUGAAACAUCAGCUUUUCUUGAGUCUCAACCUGCUGUUCUUUGGACUAGAACUGCACCAUUGGCUCUCUUGGGUUUCCAGCUUAACAACUGUAGAUCUUGGAACUUGGCAGCUUUCAUAAAUACAUGAGUUAAUUUCUUAAAAUAAAUAUAUUCAUAUGUAUGUAUAUAAAAUACAUAUCUAUCUAUCUAUCUAUCUAUCUAUCUAUCUAUCUAUCUAUCUAUCUUCUAUUGAUUUUUUUUUCUCUGGAGAACCCUGACUAGUACAGCUACAUAUAGUGUGGUAUUGGUGUUAAAGAUCAAUAAAGCAGCAUGCAGAAUUCAAAACAAAACAUAUAUAGAAUUAACUGCCAACAAACAUGACAAAGUAGUCUACAUAGAAAAGGGUAGUUUUUUCCCCCAAAUGUUGCUGAUAACAAUUGUAUUUUCACAUAAAAAUUGACAGUUGACACAACUCGUGCUGUACGAAAAAAAGUUAACUUGUAAACAAAAAAUUAACUUGUAGUGGAUUAUAGACCUAAAUAUAAAAGCUAAAACCAUAAAACUUCUAGAAGAUAAUAUUGGAUAAAAUAUUCACAAACUUGGAGUGGGCAAAGAUUUCUUAAAACACAAAAAUCACUAACCAUUAAAAAAUCCCAAACCUCAGCAUCACACCAUAUACCCAAGUAAAAAAGCUGCACAUGUACCCACUUAAUCUAAAAUAAAAGUUGAAAAAAAUAAUAAUUUAAAAAAUUUGAAAAAUAAAAGUAAAAUAAAAUAGACAUUUGAGUCUUGAAGGACGGCAUUAAGAAACUGUAAAGGCAAACUAUAUUAAUAAAGAAAGUAUUAAUAAUGCAUAUGGAACAGGAGAGUUUCCUGACCUCUUCUUGGGACUUGUGACAAGAGUGUGGCUUGCUUGCUCUGCCACCACACAUUCAAACACCUUACAGGAAGGGGAGCAUACAGAUGGGCAGGUGCAGGAGCUGGGGUGAGCGCUUUUGGGCUCCUGCCCCAUGGUAGCAUCUAGGAGUAUGUUAUGAUUAAUGCUCUUUUAGCAGUUACCAUCUGUGUAUGGCUAAAUGUUAAACCAGCUCAGUGGAGUGUCAGG
RNAcentral lists this long non-coding RNA (4257 nucleotides) under Homo sapiens (human). RNAcentral's name for it is "non-protein coding lnc-RTKN2-2:5". Lineage: Eukaryota; Metazoa; Chordata; Mammalia; Primates; Hominidae. The record is from RNAcentral.